RNAcentral lists this ribosomal RNA (266 nucleotides) under uncultured Staphylococcus sp. RNAcentral's name for it is "partial 16S ribosomal RNA". It matches the Rfam family "Bacterial small subunit ribosomal RNA", at positions 96 to 355 of the family's 1533-position model. The record is from RNAcentral. Lineage: Bacteria; Bacillati; Bacillota; Bacilli; Caryophanales; Staphylococcaceae.
CGGCGGACGGGUGAGUAACACGUGGGUAACCUACCUAUAAGACUGGGACAACUUCGGGAAACCGGAGCUAAUACCGGAUAAGAUAUCGAACCGCAUGGUUCGAUAGUGAAAGAUGGUUUUGCUAUCACUUAUAGAUGGACCCGCGCAGUAUUAGCUAGUUGGUGAGGUAACGGCUCACCAAGGCAACGAUACGUAGCCGACCUGAGAGGGUGAUCGGCCACACUGGAACUGAGACACGGUCCAGACUCCUACGGGAGGCAGCAGUA